CUUUUUCAUGUGGCAGUGUUAGAUUUAUUACCUUCCAAUCCACUGAACGUCAGAAGAUGACAAUUAUUUACCCAGUAUCCCUGAAGCCAGCUCUUUUAGAAGUUGAGUAUAACCAGCAGGCCUGGGUUCGAGACCCCCUGAGUCAAAGGUGUGUCGAACAUCUCCGGACUAGUUCAUUAGAAAGAUUCAGCACAUAUGCACGAACAUGUUUCCCUAUGGGAAAUGUUGAUCUGUGGAAGGACUGGGGUCUCAGCCUAGUAUAACAUCUGAAAACAAAACAUCUCAACAGGAUGCAAGGCAGGAGUUGCACUGGUAACAGCCCCAACUCUGGGCCAGAGCUCCAGCUUCAAGUCCGAGGUCAGGGCCUAAUAUCCCUACUGGAAGAUGCAGCCAAACAGGAUGACAAUCAAUCUGUAAAUCCUCGUGAUUGGGCAAGGAGUAAGAGUGGAAGAGUUUACUGAUCAGACAGAACCAAUGCUAAAGGACUUCACUUCUAAGUCCUUGUCAUGACUAAGUUUUGUUCUGAGUGGUUUGUUCUGGCCACUUGUUCUGGGGCUACAUCACUCCUACAGCACUGUCCUAGCCUUCACAUACCUGACCUUAACUCUUCAUCUGUGAUUCAACAGCAAUUUUCAGUGUAAGUUAUGUAGCACUUUGAGAUUGUAUUAAUGUUAAAGCU
Long non-coding RNA from Stegostoma tigrinum, 679 nucleotides. RefSeq lists it as uncharacterized. Lineage: Eukaryota; Metazoa; Chordata; Chondrichthyes; Orectolobiformes; Stegostomatidae. The transcript has 4 exons. The record is from RefSeq and is a predicted model, not a curated record.